RNAcentral lists this ribosomal RNA (410 nucleotides) under uncultured eukaryote. RNAcentral describes it as "bacterial SSU rRNA". It matches the Rfam family "Eukaryotic small subunit ribosomal RNA", at positions 636 to 1052 of the family's 1831-position model. The record is from RNAcentral.
CAAUUGGUUAUUAUGUCUCCACUAAUGAGCAGAGAGGGGUAAAACCUUCAAAGUAAGUUUUGUGGAUCAAGGUAUAGUGAUUAAUUGGAGUUCUAGUUCGUUUACUUUGAGAAAAUUAGAGUGUUUAAAGCAGCCUCUUGGGGCACUGAAUACAUUAGCAUGGGAUAAUAAAAUAGGAUCUUCACAAUAUAUUUUAUUGGUUUAAAUUGGAUAUGAAGAUAAUGAUUAAUAGGGACAGUUGGGGGUAUUCAUAUUGGGUGGUUAGCGGUGAAAUGCUCGGAUCCAUUCAAGAUGAACUAAAGGCGAAAGCAUUUACCAAGGAUGUUUUCAUUAAUCAAGAACGAAAGUUAAGGGAUCGAAGACGAUUAGAUACCGUCGUAGUCUUAACUAUAAACUAUGCCGACCAGGGG